This 105-nucleotide non-coding RNA is filed under the name Chloroflexota bacterium. RNAcentral describes it as "Chloroflexi bacterium SAM-I sequence". It matches the Rfam family "SAM riboswitch aptamer (S box leader)". Rfam says of the family: The SAM riboswitch is found upstream of a number of genes which code for proteins involved in methionine or cysteine biosynthesis in Gram-positive bacteria. The SAM riboswitch acts at the level of transcription termination control. The record is from RNAcentral. Lineage: Bacteria; Bacillati; Chloroflexota.
AUCUCAUCCAGAGAGGCGUAGGGAUCGGCCCGUUGAUGCCUCGGCAACCGGCGAAAGCCUUCGCUCGGUGCUAAUUCCGGCCUGAAGAUUCAGGGAAGAUGAGGG